AUUGAGCUGACAAGUCCCAAACAGGACGAAAUGCGCACCCUGGAU
RNAcentral lists this non-coding RNA (45 nucleotides) under Trichobilharzia regenti. Lineage: Eukaryota; Metazoa; Platyhelminthes; Trematoda; Strigeidida; Schistosomatidae. The record is from RNAcentral.